GUCCACGCCUUAAACUAUGAAUACUAAGUGUCGGCGGGUUACCGCCGGUGCCGCAGCUAACGCAUUAAGUAUUCCGCCUGGGAAGUACGGCCGCAAGGUUGAAACUCAAAGGAAUUGACGGGGGCCCGCACAAGCGGUGGAGCAUGUGGUUUAAUUCGACGCAACGCGAAGAACCUUACCCAGGCUGGACAUGCAGGUAGUAGAAGGGUGAAAGCCUAACGAGGUAGCAAUACCAUCCUGCUCAGGUGCUGCAUGGCUGUCGU
RNAcentral lists this ribosomal RNA (263 nucleotides) under uncultured bacterium. RNAcentral describes it as "partial 16S ribosomal RNA". It matches the Rfam family "Bacterial small subunit ribosomal RNA", at positions 793 to 1055 of the family's 1533-position model. The record is from RNAcentral.